This 501-nucleotide ribosomal RNA is filed under the name uncultured bacterium. Its description in RNAcentral is "bacterial SSU rRNA". It matches the Rfam family "Bacterial small subunit ribosomal RNA", at positions 29 to 521 of the family's 1533-position model. The record is from RNAcentral.
AGUUAACGUUGGCGGCGUGCCUAACACAUGCAAGUCGAACGCGUCCUAAGGGCAACUUUAGGAUGAGUGGCGAACGGGUGAGUAUCACGUGGGUAAUCUUCCUUCAAGUGGGGAAUAAGCUCUCGAAAGGGAGUCUAAUACCGCAUGACAUUCCGGGACACAAGUCCCGUAAUCAAAGCCGCAAGGCGCUUGAAGAUGAGCCUGCGUCCUAUUAGCUAGUUGGUGGGGUAACGGCCUACCAAGGCUCAGAUGGGUAGCCGGCCUUAACGGGUGGUCGCCCACACUGGGAUUGAGAUACGGCCCAGACUCCUACGGGAGGCAGCAGUCGAGAAUAGUCUACAAUGGCCGGAAGGCUGAUAGUGCGACGCCGCGUGAACGAGGGAGCCCUUCGGGUGUAAAGUUCUUUUCUUAUACGAGCAGUGCUAUAUAUAUGGAUAGUAUAUAUAGAGGGAUAGUAGUAUAGGAAUAAGCAACGGCUAACUCCGUGCCAGCAGCCGCGGU